CCACUCGGGAGCUAAACUCCCACCUCCGCGUCUGACUUCAGACGCAGGGUGUGUGUCAGGGCCGCGAAUGGCAGCUCCUGAUUGGGCACGGCCCAGGUUCUUUGAACCCGUUCGCCCAAUUAUAGCUCUGCCCCUGGGGGGAGACAUAAAUGUCCCUAGGCCCUUGAAGGAGUGUGGCCCCACCAGCUGAGCAACAGCUUGCUUUUUGCUCUCUCUCCCUUUCUGAGGAAGUAGACAGGGAAAUGGGGGAGGGAAGGAUAGCAGAGGCCCAUCUUCCCAGGACCCACUUUAACCUUGCCAUGCCCCUGAACAGUGGGUUGCAUUAUAUGUCUAGUACACCUUUUGGGCAAACUAUGAUGAUGAUAAAAACAGAAAUUAUGAAAUAAAAAUAUGGUGAUAGUAAAAGCCAUACCUUGCAGGACUGUAAAGUUUAGUGAUAUUCAUUCAUUUUUAAAAAAAUGUAUAUCACAUUCUUCCUCUGAGAAGCCCAGAGCAGUAUUCAUGGGUAUGUUUAUCCUCACAACAACCCUGUGAGGUAGAAUUUGUCUUUUAAUCAUCAUUGCCAGUAGUGGAAUAAAUGAAGCAGGCAUCCCUCAGGCAAGCAUGAUGUAGUACGUUGAUUGAGCGGCACUGUUCUACUGACCUCCUGCCCGUCUGACCCAUAUUUGAUUUGACUGUUUGUUGUCUUAGUCAUAUGAGUUUGUCAUGCAGUGACUUAAAUUGCCAGGGUUCUUAUGAUUCUGGGAGCCAUCAAUAACUGUGGAGCACAAAGAAGCAGCACAGACUUAACUCAAAGGCAUCGCUUGUACAAAUGGAAUUUUGAAGAAUCUUACUAAAAAUCAUUGGCUCAUUUCA
Long non-coding RNA from Hemicordylus capensis (graceful crag lizard), 855 nucleotides. RefSeq lists it as uncharacterized. The transcript has 2 exons. The record is from RefSeq and is a predicted model, not a curated record. Lineage: Eukaryota; Metazoa; Chordata; Lepidosauria; Squamata; Cordylidae.